Molecule: long non-coding RNA, 283 nt
Filed under: Lathyrus oleraceus (garden pea)
Lineage: Eukaryota; Viridiplantae; Streptophyta; Magnoliopsida; Fabales; Fabaceae
Description: Pisum sativum (pea) long non-coding RNA (PSAT_LNC013323)
Source: RNAcentral
AGAGCUUAAAGACCCUACAGUUUACAUCCAUGUAUAAAGAACAAAAGCAAGAGCAAGGUCACCGAUUUUGUACACAGGAAAACAAAUCAAAUUAAAUAGCAACUACAUAUGCAAAAAGUCAAAGGAAGAAUUUGAACUGUAUGUGAUUGUCCCUUUGUAUACAAUAUGAUUGUCCAAUUCUAGCUUAAUUAGGCCAGAAAACCUAUAGAUAUAUAAUUAUAAAUAAACUGUCUUGGAUUCCAUACUUUAUUUGGAUCUAUAUUUCUCACCAUCCACAGUUCCA